Molecule: ribosomal RNA, 115 nt
Filed under: Escherichia coli
Lineage: Bacteria; Pseudomonadati; Pseudomonadota; Gammaproteobacteria; Enterobacterales; Enterobacteriaceae
Description: partial 23S ribosomal RNA
Rfam family: Bacterial large subunit ribosomal RNA
Source: RNAcentral
UGACUCCUUGAGGGUCCUGAAGGAACGUUGAAGACGACGACGUUGAUAGGCCGGGUGUGUAAGCGCAGCGAUGCGUUGAGCUAACCGGUACUAAUGAACCGUGAGGCUUAACCUU